Molecule: ribosomal RNA, 467 nt
Filed under: uncultured bacterium
Lineage: Bacteria
Description: partial 16S ribosomal RNA
Rfam family: Bacterial small subunit ribosomal RNA
Source: RNAcentral
GACGAACGCUGGCGGCGUGCUUAACACAUGCAAGUCGAACGGAAAGGCCCUGCUUUUGUGGGGUGCUCGAGUGGCGAACGGGUGAGUAACACGUGAGUAACCUGCCCUUGACUUUGGGAUAACUUCAGGAAACUGGGGCUAAUACCGGAUAGGAGCUCCUGCUGCAUGGUGGGGGUUGGAAAGUUUCGGCGGUUGGGGAUGGACUCGCGGCUUAUCAGCUUGUUGGUGGGGUAGUGGCUUACCAAGGCUUUGACGGGUAGCCGGCCUGAGAGGGUGACCGGCCACAUUGGGACUGAGAUACGGCCCAGACUCCUACGGGAGGCAGCAGUGGGGAAUAUUGCACAAUGGGCGGAAGCCGGAUGCAGCAACGCCGCGUGCGGGAGGAGGGCCUUCGGGUUGUAAACCGCUUUCGCCUGUGACGAAGCGUGAGUGACGGUAAUGGGUAAAGAAGCACCGGCUAACUACGU